RNAcentral lists this ribosomal RNA (495 nucleotides) under uncultured bacterium. RNAcentral describes it as "partial 16S ribosomal RNA". It matches the Rfam family "Bacterial small subunit ribosomal RNA", at positions 28 to 505 of the family's 1533-position model. The record is from RNAcentral.
GAUGAACGCUGGCGGCGUGCCUAAUACAUGCAAGUCGAGCGAACAGACGAGGAGCUUGUUCCUCUGACGUUAGCGGCGGACGGGUGAGUAACACGUGGAUAACCUACCUAUAAGACUGGGAUAACUUCGGGAAACCGGUGCUAAUACCGCAUAAUAUAUUGAACCGCAUGGUUCAAUAGUGAAAGACGCUUUUGCCGUCACUUAUAGAUGGACCCGCGCCGCAUUAGCUAGUGGGUAAGGAAACGGCUUACCAAGGCAACGAUGCUUAGCCGACCGGAGGGGGUGAGCGACCACAGGAGAACGGCAACACGGUCCAGACUCCGAGGGGAGGCAGCAGUGGAGAAUCGGACAAAAGGGGCAAGAGGCUGACGGAACAACGCCGCGUGAGAGAAGGAGGUCUGCGGGUAGAAAAACUCUGGUAGUGGAGAAAAACAAAUGUGUAAGUAACUAUGCACGUUGACGGGGUACAUAAACAGAGAGCCGGCGCUAUCUACG